Molecule: ribosomal RNA, 443 nt
Filed under: uncultured bacterium
Lineage: Bacteria
Description: partial 16S ribosomal RNA
Rfam family: Bacterial small subunit ribosomal RNA
Source: RNAcentral
CCUACGGGUGGCAGCAGUGGGGAAUAUUGGGCAAUGGGCGCAAGCCUGACCCAGCAACGCCGCGUGAAGGAAGAAGGCCCUCGGGUUGUAAACUUCUUUUGUCAGGGACGAAACCCAUGACGGUACCUGACGCAUAAUCCACUGCUAACUACGUGCCAGCAGCCGCGGUAAUACGUAGGUGGCAAGCGUUAUACGGAUUUACUUGGUGUAAAGGGCGUGUAGGCGGGAGAGCAAGUCAGAUGUGAAAUUCCAGGGCUCAACCCUGGAACUGCAGUUGAAACUGUUUUUCUUGAGUGAUGGAGAGGCAGGCGGAAUUCCGUGUGUAGCGGUGAAAUGCGUAGAUAUACGGAGGAACACCAGUGGCGAAGGCGGCCUGCUGGACAGUAACUGACGCUGAGGCGCGAAAGCGUGGGGAGCAAACAGGAUUAGAUACCCCUGUAGUC